This 164-nucleotide non-coding RNA is filed under the name Helicotheca tamesis. Lineage: Eukaryota; Bacillariophyta; Thalassiosirophyceae; Lithodesmiales; Lithodesmiaceae. The record is from RNAcentral.
GUGGCGUUGGCUAGUGAUGCUAUUGGUGGACAUUAUGAUAUUGUGCACUAUCCAAGUAUAGGUGGAUUGACUAAGGCGGAUGCUGAUUUUAUUUUUGGUGAUUUGAGUGUUUUGACUAUGUGGAGGUUUAUGAUUAGUUUUAUACUUGGUUCUGGUGAAGAUGA